ACUGUCUAGCUCUGUUCCCCAGGAAACCAUGAAUGUCAGAAACCACAGAAUGUCAGCUGUGUUACUAGGCAACAUGGCUUAUGGUAAAAAUGACCCAUUGGUAAAUUGCUUGGGUCUGAGAGGGACUAAAAAUACCUGGAGAGUGGCUGAAACUUUGGACUUCUCCUAGUGUGGUGACUCCUGUAAUCGAGCAUGUACCCCGUGGGGAUCCUAGAAACCUUGCUCAUGGGUGGUCAUACAAGGCUCCUGCAGAGAAGAGACGCUCAUUCAUUUCUAACCUCAUCACCACCAACAUAGUAUAAUGCUUAUGAAAAGGUGAACAAACUGGGACUGUGGCACAUCCAUACAAUGAAUACUAAGUACUCAGUAAUAAAAAGAAAUGAACUACUGA
Felis catus (domestic cat) is the source of this 391-nucleotide long non-coding RNA. RefSeq lists it as uncharacterized. The transcript has 3 exons. The record is from RefSeq and is a predicted model, not a curated record. Lineage: Eukaryota; Metazoa; Chordata; Mammalia; Carnivora; Felidae.